Molecule: ribosomal RNA, 1845 nt
Filed under: Triticum aestivum (bread wheat)
Lineage: Eukaryota; Viridiplantae; Streptophyta; Magnoliopsida; Poales; Poaceae
Description: partial small subunit ribosomal RNA
Source: RNAcentral
AUGGCGCGGCGCCACGGGUGGCAGCUCCCCGCCCACACCCUGCAGGUGGUUGCUAUAACAGUGUUCUUCUUGCUGUGUAUAGCAUUCUAUGCUUUCUUGUCUCCAUUUCUUGGGAAGGACUUGUAUCAGUAUAUUGCAAUCGGUGUUUAUAGUUUUCUGGCCUUAUCGGUACUGAUUCUAUAUGCUAGAUGUACUGCUAUUGAUCCUGCUGACCCUGGCAUCCUGAUUAGCGUCAAUGGUGCACUAAUCUAUAAAUCAGAAGCAAACGUACACACUCAAGAAGAAGCUGGCAAAUCAGGAUUGGAAGCCAACGAGGAAAUCAGAAAGCAUAGAUCAUGUUUAGGAACUGGUUGUUUUUGUUGUGCUAUUUUUAAGAAAGAGGAUUGUCGCAAAGAAGAUGAAGCUUACCAACAAGAAAAUUAUGCCGAGGAGGCACUCUUUUGCACCCUUUGCAACACAGAGGUGCGAAAAAAUAGUAAACAUUGUCGGAGCUGUGACAAGUGUGUUGAUGGUUUUGAUCAUCAUUGUCGGUGGCUGAACAAUUGUGUUGGAAGGAGAAAUUAUAUGACUUUUUUGUGCCUUAUGGCAGUGAGUCUUGCUUGGCUUGCGGUUGAGUGUGGAGUUGGUAUAGCUGUGUUUGUACGUUGCUUCACUGAUAAAGCAGCAAUUGAAGAACAAAUAGGGGAAAAGCUGGGCUAUGGUCUUUCACGAGCGCCCUUUGCAGUCAUUGUGGCCCUGAGUACAGCUCUUGCUGUGCUUGCUUCAGUGCCCCUGGGGGAGCUGUUCUUCUUCCAUAUGCUAUUAAUCAAGAAGGGCAUCACAACUUAUGAAUAUGUUGUGGCAAUGAGGGCUCAGAGUGAACCUCCUGGUCUCUCUGUCAAUGAUGAGCAGCAAAGCUUGCCAUCUUCUCCCAUGAGUUCUGCACCAACUGCUUUCAGCGGGAGCUCGUUCGCACGGCAUUACAAAGGUGCAUGGUGCACUCCACCACGCAUCUUUGUUGACCAGGACGAAAUCAUUCCACACUUGGGACCUGGGCGAUUACCUUCAACUGUUGAUCCUGAUAGCACAGACCCGGUUGAAAGAGCCAAACAACACGCCAAGCGCCAAGUUCGCAUUAACCCAUGGAAGCUGGCAAAACUGGAUUCAAACGAGGCCAUGAAAGCCGCAGCAAAAGCCAGAGCCUCUUCAUCCGUGCUGAAACCGAUCAAUAGCCGUUCCCAUUACGACGCCGACCAGUGCUCCAGCGAUAACCUCAGCUGCAGAAGCAGUGUCAUGAGUGCUGAUACUAACAACCACAUCGACACUCGGUCUGGCAGGAAUGCUCCGUACAAGUCCCCUUAUCCACCCAGCAUAGCAAGUGCAGAUGACAUUGAGCUGUAUCCUCAGACACCCAGCAGCUUCCAGAGCAACUCGCGGACUCCGACGCCCAUUGCAGAGCACCAUCCCUCGAAGCAUUUCAACCCAAUCUAUCAGACAUCAGCAAACAGGUCCCCAUUCUCAGCCAAAGCAAAUGAAGCAGCUAUUCCAGAAGCCAACAACGCAAGGAGGUUUAGUGCGCCGAACACAGAUAGAUCUCCUCGAUCAUCGGUUUACUGGGAUCAGGAAGCUGGCCGGUUCAUGUCUGCACAGGCAAACCAGGGACCGAGCUCUCGGGUAACCCGGCCCGACCUUCUGUACACCGGUCAGUCUAUAUUCUUUGGUGGACCCCUGAUUGCAGAUUCUGCAACGAGAAGUUUCAGAGACCCUGGCGGCUCGAGCCAGCGCUCUGCCGUGUCUCGGCCACACCAGCUCCCCGUGUUCAUUCCCACUGAUCCCCAGAAAGAUCACCUCUCCAAGUUGCCGUGA